Transfer RNA from Coccomyxa subellipsoidea C-169, 73 nucleotides. It matches the Rfam family "tRNA". Rfam says of the family: Transfer RNA (tRNA) molecules are approximately 80 nucleotides in length. Lineage: Eukaryota; Viridiplantae; Chlorophyta; Trebouxiophyceae; Coccomyxaceae. The record is from Rfam.
GCUCGUGUAACUCAGUGGAUAGAGUGUCUGUUUCCUAAGCAGAACGUCAGAGGUUCGAACCCUCUCUCGAGCG